GACGAACGCUGGCGGCGUGCUUAACACAUGCAAGUCGAACGGAAAGGCCCUGCUUUUGUGGGGUGCUCGAGUGGCGAACGGGUGAGUAACACGUGAGUAACCUGCCCUUGACUUUGGGAUAACUUCAGGAAACUGGGGCUAAUACCGGAUAAGAGCUCCUGCUGCAUGGUGGGGGUUGGAAAGUUUCGGCGGUUGGGGAUGGACUCGCGGCUUAUCAGCUUGUUGGUGGGGUAGUGGCUUACCAAGGCUUUGACGGGUAGCCGGCCUGAGAGGGUGAUCGGCCACACUGGAACUGAGACACGGUACAGGAUGCUAAGGGAGGCAGCAGGAGGGAAUCUUCCGCAAUGGGGGAAAGCCUGACGGAGCAACGCCGCGUGAGUGAUGAAGGUCUUCGGAUCGUAAAAGUCUGUGAUUAGGGAAGAACAAAUGUGUAAGUAACUAUGCACGUCUUGACGGUACCUAAUCAGAAAGCCACGGCUAACUACGUG
RNAcentral lists this ribosomal RNA (488 nucleotides) under uncultured bacterium. RNAcentral's name for it is "partial 16S ribosomal RNA". It matches the Rfam family "Bacterial small subunit ribosomal RNA", at positions 28 to 507 of the family's 1533-position model. The record is from RNAcentral.